Molecule: transfer RNA, 75 nt
Filed under: Candidatus Woesearchaeota archaeon
Lineage: Archaea; Nanobdellati; Candidatus Woesearchaeota
Description: tRNA-Ile
Rfam family: tRNA
About the family: Transfer RNA (tRNA) molecules are approximately 80 nucleotides in length. Their secondary structure includes four short double-helical elements and three loops (D, anti-codon, and T loops).
Source: RNAcentral
GGUCCCGUAGCUCAGCCUGGUUAGAGCGCCGCUCUGAUAAGGCGGAGGUCCGGUGUUCGAAUCACCGCGGGACCA